Molecule: ribosomal RNA, 490 nt
Filed under: uncultured bacterium
Lineage: Bacteria
Description: partial 16S ribosomal RNA
Rfam family: Bacterial small subunit ribosomal RNA
Source: RNAcentral
AUUGAACGCUGGCGGCAGGCCUAACACAUGCAAGUCGAACGGUAACAGGAAGAAGCUUGCUUCUUUGCUGACGAGUGGCGGACGGGUGAGUAAUGUCUGGGAAACUGCCUGAUGGAGGGGGAUAACUACUGGAAACGGUAGCUAAUACCGCAUAACGUCGCAAGACCAAAAAGGGGGACCUUCGGGCCUCUUGCCACCGGAUGUGCCCAGAUGGGAUUAGCUAGUAGGUGGGGUAACGGCUCACCUAGGCGACGAUCCCUAGCUGGUCUGAGAGGAUGACCAGCCACACUGGAACUGAGACACGGUCCAGACUCCUACGGGAGGCAGCAGUGGGGAAUAUUGCACAAUGGGCGCAAGCCUGAUGCAGCCAUGCCGCGUGUAUGAAGAAGGCCUUCGGGUUGUAAAGUACUUUCAGCGGGGAGGAAGGGAGUAAAGUUAAUACCUUUGCUCAUUGACGUUACCCGCAGAAGAAGCACCGGCUAACUCCGUG